UCUGAUGGCAUGAGUGUCACAAUGACUGGUAGAUUCUUAUCUGCUGCAGCCUUCAUCCGCCUUCACAGCCAUUGUAACAUACCACUUGCUAUCUUCUGCCUGUGCUGCCAUUGAGAAUUUCUUGAAUCAUUCUCUGUCUAGCUCCUCCCCCUUGACCUUACCGCCUUGGGUGACCCUACUGGGAGUACGAACUCCCGACAGCUUCGCUCACAAGGAUCAUAGGAAGGUGCAAGUCCACUCACCACAACAAGGUGAUGAUCCAGCGAGUGAUCCAGAUGCAUGCAAAUUCCGAAGAGAGAUUUUUGCUUAACUGAGCUUCAAGUCAGUGGAUAAGAUUGGAUUAUUGCAAGGCGCAGAACAAUGAGGAAAGCUCUCGGAUGCUGGGGGAAUUAAUUGGUACACAAUACAAUUAAGAAAACAGGCCAAGCAUAAGUGUGGAUGAGCACUCAGUAGAAAAUAAAGCAUUAUGGAUAUGCUCAAAUCCCAACUUUGCUUCUGAUCUUCCAGGACUGUGUUGUGGCUCAGAAUUAAAGCCUCAUUAUACUAUUCAUCUACUGACUACAGUUCUACAUGACUCCUUCAUCACAUGCUCACACAAGAAAUAAACCCAAACCCCCAAAGCACAGAAAAAUUAAUUAUUACCGUACCUUUGAUGGAAAGAAGACCGAUGCUGGGGGCUUCCGACGGCAAGCAAACACCUCCGAGGAGCAGGAACAUUGAUGAAAAACGAUUUCCAUGGUUUCACUGGUCAGCUCAGCAGGCUGAUGCAGUAAUCUUCAAGCUCCACAGGAAAGAGCAGAAGUUAUGACGAGUGCCGGAGGCAGAAGCAAACAUUUGGUCAUAUUCAGCCUUGCAUAUAUCAGAAAACUGCCAGACAUUCAUGCAACGCUAAGAACACUGUCCUAGUUUGGGGAGAGAAUAGGCUAUUUGGAAUGUGGAAUAAAGAGGAUUGAUUUUUCUCUCUCAAGACUGUCAGCACUUUUCUAAAG
Long non-coding RNA from Podarcis raffonei (Aeolian wall lizard), 989 nucleotides. RefSeq lists it as uncharacterized. Lineage: Eukaryota; Metazoa; Chordata; Lepidosauria; Squamata; Lacertidae. The record is from RefSeq and is a predicted model, not a curated record. The transcript has 3 exons.